UACGUAGGGGGCAAGCGUUAUCCGGAAUUACUGGGUGUAAAGGGAGCGUAGGUGGCAAGGCAAGUCAGAUGUGAAAACCCGGGGCCCAACCCCGGGAGUGCAUUUGAAACUGCCAUGCUGGAGUGCCGGAGAGGUAAGCGGAAUUCCUAGUGUAGCGGUGAAAUGCGUAGAUAUUAGGAGGAACACCAGUGGCGGAGGCGGCUUACUGGACGGUAACUGACGCUGAGGCACGAAAGCGUGGGUAUCGAACAGG
This 253-nucleotide ribosomal RNA is filed under the name uncultured Eubacteriales bacterium. RNAcentral describes it as "uncultured Clostridiales bacterium partial 16S ribosomal RNA". It matches the Rfam family "Bacterial small subunit ribosomal RNA", at positions 524 to 776 of the family's 1533-position model. The record is from RNAcentral. Lineage: Bacteria; Bacillati; Bacillota; Clostridia; Eubacteriales.